This 45-nucleotide non-coding RNA is filed under the name Schistosoma curassoni. The record is from RNAcentral. Lineage: Eukaryota; Metazoa; Platyhelminthes; Trematoda; Strigeidida; Schistosomatidae.
ACCCAGAUGACAAGUCCCAAAUAAGACGAAGCGCGCUUUCUGGAU